Phrynosoma platyrhinos (Desert horned lizard) is the source of this 71-nucleotide non-coding RNA. The record is from the annotation of a GenBank genome assembly. NCBI's taxonomy places the organism in Eukaryota, Metazoa, Chordata, Lepidosauria, Squamata, Phrynosomatidae.
GGCAGUGUGGUACAAUGGGUUGAAGGCUGGACUAUGACUCUGGAGACCAGGGUUCGAUCCCUGUUGGGCCA